This is a long non-coding RNA of Gadus chalcogrammus (walleye pollock), 2188 nucleotides long. RefSeq lists it as uncharacterized. The record is from RefSeq and is a predicted model, not a curated record. Lineage: Eukaryota; Metazoa; Chordata; Actinopteri; Gadiformes; Gadidae. The transcript has 9 exons.
UGUUAGCCCUGUAAUAGUCUACAGCUGUGGCUCAUAGGUUAAUUGAGCCACACCCAUUCUGGUGCUCCUUAAGAGGGCCAGAGUAUUACACGGGAGGGACGCUUGAGUUGUGCAAGUGACUCGACUGUUGUGCUAUUGUUUGUUUUAAGUAAGAAUAUGUUUUUCACCAACAACAUUGUGCAUCAAGUUUAUUUAAGUUGAUACCGGUGAGACACGUUAUCGAAAGAAGAUGUUAAAGACCUUUUGAAGUAAAGAGGAGCAUCUCAUCUGGACCUGAUGUCUAUCAUGGAUAUUUAACUGCAGUUCUGUGUCUGCCUCCUCACCCUGAGCAAGACCUCCACCUCCUCACCAAGAGCCAGACCUCCACCUCCUCACCAAGAGCCAGACCUCCACCUCCUCACCCAGAGCCAGACCUCCACCUCCUCACCCAGAGCCAGACCUCCAGCUCCUCACCCAGAGCCAGACCUCCACCUCCUCACCCAGAGCCAGACCUCCACCUCCUCACCCAGAGCCAGACCUCCACCUCCUGUCAGAAGUCCUCCAGAACAGUUCAGUGCUCCGCUGAAAGGCGAGGCGGAGAGGCUGGGAACCGGAGGCUUGUGGUGCCAGGAUGGACCGGAGACUGAGGCUGGAGACCAGGGGCCUGCAGCACCGGACCAGGGGAUCAGGAAUCCAUGGCUGAAGGAGCUGAUGGAGGAGCCGUGCUGAAGGCCCUGCCUGGUGGAGGAGCUGAUGGAGACCCUGCCUGGGGGAGGAGCUGCUGGAGGAGCCGUGCUGAAGGCCCUGCCUGGUGGAGGAGCUGAUGGAGGCCCUGCCUGGUGGAGGAGCUGAUGGAUGCCCUUCCUGAUGGAGGCCCUGCCUGGUGGAGGAGCUGAUGGAGGCCCUGCCUGGUGAAGGGGCUGAUGGAGGAGGAGCUGGUGGAGGUCCUGCCUGGUGGAGACCCUGCCUGGUAGAGGAUGUCUGUCGUGAGCAGGACUUUCGCUGUUUGUCCCAGACCAGGACUCGUCUGAGGAGAGUUGAUGGUUGAGCUGAGACGCUGGAGGACGACUAGGAAUCGACCAACAAGGAUUCCUCAUAAGUUUGCAUUUACUUAACAUUGUUGACUUAAAGGGCAAAAUACAGCGGUUACUUUGACAUGCGUUAACAAAUACCGCUGUGUUUUCUUACUAGAACGUGUUUCUGGAGCGGAGGCGAGCUGGCAGGGGAGCCGUGAAUCUGGAGGACGACAUCACUCUACCAACAAGGAUCCACCAGGAAUCUGGAGGACUGACGGAGAAGCUGUACAUCUGGAAGGCAAAUCCUGAGGACAACCAGGACUCUACCAUCAAGGAUUCCUCACACACCUGAGCUUAACCCACCUGAUCCUGUUUGGUCGGGGGCAGAAACACCUGAGCUGAACCCCACCUGAUCCUGUUUGGUCGGGGGCAGACACACCUGAGCUGAACCCCCACCUGAUCCUGUUUGGUCGGGGGCAGACACACCUGAGCUGAACCCCACCUGAUCCUGUUUGGUCGGGGGCAGACACACCUGAGCUGAACCUCCUCUGAUCCUGUUUGGUCGGGGGCAGACACACCUGAGCUGAACCCCACCUGAUCCUGACACCCUGCUGGUCCCGUCUCCUCAGUUCAUCUGAGCCUCGUCCUCCAGAAGACCUGCUGAGCUCAGCGGUCUGAGGCUGAUGGAUCAAUGACCUCCAGUGGGAGUGAUCUCCUUGACCCCACAUGUACCCGUGUGCUUCCGCACGCCUUUCCCUCACGUCCGUCACUAACCUCACUAUUUCCCCACUCACUACUCCUUCCCCUUCUUCUUCCUUCUCCGUGCUUCAAACCUUUAUUCUGAAGGAGUGUCUUCUUGAACCUUUACACUGGAGGAGCGUCGUCCUGCCCUCAGAGGGUUCAGCGUUAGGGUUGAGAGUCAGGGUUUAGAGUCAGGGACAGAGCUGGUCAGGGAGGACUGGUUUUAAACAAACCUCUUCACUUGCUUUCUGAAUAGCGACAUUUUGAAAUGUUUCAUUUGGGAAAAUGUUUUUCUCUGCUUUCCUUUAGAAAAACAUGUAUAAAACUUCUGUCAAAUGUUUUUGUUUAUAUAUUAAAAUCCUACAUUGACUUCUGCAUGUUUGGUGCGGUUCAUUUAACUUGGUUAAUUUCAAGCUAAACUCCUGCAAUACAUUGAAUUUACAUGAUGAAUG